RNAcentral lists this ribosomal RNA (271 nucleotides) under uncultured prokaryote. RNAcentral describes it as "partial 16S ribosomal RNA". It matches the Rfam family "Bacterial small subunit ribosomal RNA", at positions 524 to 794 of the family's 1533-position model. The record is from RNAcentral.
UACGUAGGUGGCAAGCGUUGUCCGGAUUUAUUGGGCGUAAAGGGAGCGCAGGCGGUGACUUAAGUCUGAUGUGAAAGCCCACGGCUCAACCGUGGAAGGUCAUUGGAAACUGGGUCACUUGAAUAUAGAAGAGGAAAGUGGAAUUCCAUGUGUAGCGGUGAAAUGCGUAGAUAUAUGGAGGAACACCAGUGGCGAAGGCGACUUUCUGGUCUAUAACUGACACUGAGGCGCGAAAGCGUGGGGAGCAAACAGGAUUAGAUACCCGGGUAGU